CCCUUAGAUGUUCUGGGCAGCACGCGCGCUACAAUGGUCUGCGCAAACGGAUGCAUUCUCGAAGGAGAAUGCCAAUCUUGGAAUCUAUGCCUUGGUCGGGACAGUUGCUUGCAAUUUUUCGACUCGAACCAGGAAUUCCUUGUAAUCGUGAUUCAUCACAUCACGAUGAAUACGUCCCUGCCCUUUGUACACACCGCCCGUCGCUCCUACCGAUCGAAGAGUUAGGUGAAUUGUUUUGAUCGAUAAGAUUUGACUAUGGUCAACUCUCGUUGUGAAAUUCUGUGAAUCUGACUGUUUAGAGGAAGGAAAAGUCGUAACA
This 319-nucleotide ribosomal RNA is filed under the name uncultured eukaryote. Its description in RNAcentral is "partial 18S ribosomal RNA". It matches the Rfam family "Eukaryotic small subunit ribosomal RNA", at positions 1470 to 1796 of the family's 1831-position model. The record is from RNAcentral.